RNAcentral lists this ribosomal RNA (619 nucleotides) under uncultured bacterium. RNAcentral's name for it is "bacterial SSU rRNA". It matches the Rfam family "Bacterial small subunit ribosomal RNA", at positions 28 to 636 of the family's 1533-position model. The record is from RNAcentral.
AUUGAACGCUAGCUACAGGCUUAACACAUGCAAGUCGAGGGGUAACAUGAUAAAAGCUUGCUUUUAUUGAUGACGACCGGCGCACGGGUGCGUAACACGUAUUCAACUUGCCACACACUCAGGGAUAGCCUUUCGAAAGAGAGAUUAAUACCUGAUAGUAUAAUCAAUUCGCAUGUUUUGAUUAUUAAAGAUUUAUCGGUGUGUGAUAGGAAUGCGUUCCAUUAGAUUGUAGGUGAGGUAACGGCUCACCUAGUCCACGAUGGAUAGGGGUUCUGAGAGGAAGAUCCCCCACAUUGGAACUGAGACACGGUCCAAACUCCUACGGGAGGCAGCAGUGAGGAAUAUUGGUCAAUGGGCGGGAGCCUGAACCAGCCAAGUAGCGUGAAGGAUGACUGCCCUAUGGGUUGUAAACUUCUUUUAUAAGAGAAUAAAGUCAGUUACGUGUAACUGUUUGCAUGUAUCUUAUGAAUAAGGAUCGGCUAACUCCGUGCCAGCAGCCGCGGUAAUACGGAGGAUCCGAGCGUUAUCCGGAUUUAUUGGGUUUAAAGGGUGCGUAGGUGGAAGUAUAAGUCAGUUGUGAAAGUUUACGGCUCAACCGUGAAAUUGCAAUUGAAACUGU